RNAcentral lists this ribosomal RNA (229 nucleotides) under uncultured bacterium. Its description in RNAcentral is "partial 16S ribosomal RNA". It matches the Rfam family "Bacterial small subunit ribosomal RNA", at positions 568 to 796 of the family's 1533-position model. The record is from RNAcentral.
UGCGCAGGCGGAACUUUAAGUCAGUGGUGAAAUCUUGCCGCUUAACGGUAAAAUUGCCAUUGAUACUGAAGUUCUUGAAUAUGGUUAAGGUAGGCGGAAUGUGUUGUGUAGCGGUGAAAUGCAUAGAUAUGACACAGAACUCCGAUUGCGAAGGCAGCUUACUAAACCAUUAUUGACGCUGAGGCACGAAAGCGUGGGGAGCAAACAGGAUUAGAUACCCUGGUAGUCC